Molecule: non-coding RNA, 85 nt
Filed under: Aporhodopirellula rubra
Lineage: Bacteria; Pseudomonadati; Planctomycetota; Planctomycetia; Pirellulales; Pirellulaceae
Source: RNAcentral
AGCCGAAACGCCGGCCCCUUUCCUCGAACGAAUCGGGCCGGCGUCGUCGCGGGCGGUUCCCGCGGCCUGACGAUGGCAGCCAACC